This 173-nucleotide ribosomal RNA is filed under the name uncultured bacterium. Its description in RNAcentral is "partial 16S ribosomal RNA". It matches the Rfam family "Bacterial small subunit ribosomal RNA", at positions 1328 to 1500 of the family's 1533-position model. The record is from RNAcentral.
GGAAUUGCUAGUAAUCGUAGGUCAGCAUACUACGGUGAAUACGUUCCCGGGCCUUGUACACACCGCCCGUCAAACCAUGAGAGUUGGCAACACCCGAAGUCGGUAGUCUAACCGCAAGGAGGACGCCGCCGAAGGUGGGGUUGAUGAUUAGGGUUAAGUCGUAACAAGGUAGC